CUUGUUGGUGACUGUUCUGCUCUUAUGAACAUCAAUAGUUUGAAAAAGUAUCAGAGAGCACCAGUUCUUAUUCUGGAAUCUUUCAAGAUCCAAGUCAAUGGAGAUAAAGUUAGUCUCCAAAAUGUGAUCAAUGUUUCUCGGGUUUCAAUCAACCGUGAUAUGCAGGAAACAGUGAAUUUUCUGAAUGAAUACCAUAUCGCAAGCCACCAUUUCAGUAGACUGUGUAGUAAUGAGAAU
This is a non-coding RNA of Arachis ipaensis, 237 nucleotides long. Lineage: Eukaryota; Viridiplantae; Streptophyta; Magnoliopsida; Fabales; Fabaceae. The record is from RefSeq and is a predicted model, not a curated record.